This 528-nucleotide ribosomal RNA is filed under the name uncultured bacterium. RNAcentral describes it as "bacterial SSU rRNA". It matches the Rfam family "Bacterial small subunit ribosomal RNA", at positions 777 to 1304 of the family's 1533-position model. The record is from RNAcentral.
AAUAGAUACCCUGGUAGUCCACGCCGUAAACGAUGAGUGCUAAGUGUUAGAGGGUUUCCGCCCUUUAGUGCUGCAGCUAACGCAUUAAGCACUCCGCCUGGGGAGUACGGCCGCAAGGCUGAAACUCAAAGGAAUUGACGGGGGCCCGCACAAGCGGUGGAGCAUGUGGUUUAAUUCGAAGCAACGCGAAGAACCUUACCAGGUCUUGACAUCCUCUGCCAACCCUAGAGAUAGGGCGUUCCCCUUCGGGGGACAGAGUGACAGGUGGUGCAUGGUUGUCGUCAGCUCGUGUCGUGAGAUGUUGGGUUAAGUCCCGCAACGAGCGCAACCCUUGAUCUUAGUUGCCAGCAUUCAGUUGGGCACUCUAAGGUGACUGCCGGUGACAAACCGGAGGAAGGUGGGGAUGACGUCAAAUCAUCAUGCCCCUUAUGACCUGGGCUACACACGUGCUACAAUGGAUGGUACAAAAGCUGCGAACCCGCGAGGGUAAGCGAAUCUCAUAAAGCCAUUCUCAGUUCGGAUUGUAGG